CCUACGGGAGGCUGCAGUGAGGAGUAUUGGGCAAUGGGCGAAAGCCUGACCCAGCAACGCCGCGUGGAGGAUGAAUGCCGUAAGGUUGUAAACUCCUGUUAGAGGGGAAGAACAAUCCCGAUCGACUCGGGACAUGACUGUACCCUCAGAGAAAGCUCCGGCUAACUACGUGCCAGCAGCCGCGGUAAUACGUAGGGGGCUAGCGUUAUCCGGAAUUACUGGGCGUAAAGGGUGCGUAGGCGGCCCUUCAAGUCAGAGGUGAAAGGCUACGGCUCAACCGUAGUAAGCCUUUGAAACUGUAGGGCUUGAGUGCAGGAGAGGAGAGUGGAAUUCCCAGUGUAGCGGUGAAAUGCGUAGAUAUUGGGAGGAACACCAGUUGCGAAGGCGGCUCUCUGGACUGUAACUGACGCUGAGGCACGAAAGCGUGGGGAGCGAACAGGAUUAGAUACCCGUGUAGUC
RNAcentral lists this ribosomal RNA (459 nucleotides) under uncultured bacterium. RNAcentral's name for it is "bacterial SSU rRNA". It matches the Rfam family "Bacterial small subunit ribosomal RNA", at positions 338 to 795 of the family's 1533-position model. The record is from RNAcentral.